This 497-nucleotide ribosomal RNA is filed under the name uncultured bacterium. RNAcentral describes it as "partial 16S ribosomal RNA". It matches the Rfam family "Bacterial small subunit ribosomal RNA", at positions 28 to 507 of the family's 1533-position model. The record is from RNAcentral.
GAUGAACGCUGGCGGCGUGCCUAAUACAUGCGAGUCGAGCGAACAGACGAGGAGCUUGCUCCUCUGACGUUAGCGGCGGACGGGUGAGUAACACGUGGAUAACCUACCUAUAAGACUGGGAUAACUUCGGGAAACCGGAGCUAAUACCGGAUAACAUGUUGAACCGCACGGUUCAACAGUGAAAGACGGUUUUGCUGUCACUUAUAGAUGGAUCCGCGUCGCAUUAGCUAGUUGGUAAGGUAACGGCUUACCAAGGCAACGAUGCGUAGCCGACCUGAGAGGGUGAUCGGCCACACUGGAACUGAGACACGGUCCAGACUCCUACGGGAGGCAGCAGUAGGGAAUCUUCCGCAAUGGGCGAAAGCCUGACGGAGCAACGCCGCGUGAGUGAAGAAGGUCUUCGGAUCGUAAAACUCUGUUAUUAGGGAAGAACAAAUGUGUAAGUAACUAUGCACGUCUUGACGGUACCUAAUCAGAAAGCCACGGCUAACUACGUG